GUGCUUAACACAUGCAAGUCGAACGAAAGGCCCCUUCGGGGGUACUCGAGCGGCGAACGGGUGAGUAACACGUGGGCAACCUGCCCCUAGCACCGGGAUAACACCUGGAAACAGGUGCUAAUACCGGAUAACAAUCGAUGCGGGCAUCCGCGACGAUUCAAAUGUUUUUUCGGCUAGGGAUGGGCCCGCGGCCUAUCAGCUUGUUGGUGGGGUAAUGGCCUACCAAGGCGACGACGGGUAGCCGGCCUGAGAGGGCGACCGGCCACACUGGGACUGAGACACGGCCCAGACUCCUACGGGAGGCAGCAGUGGGGAAUAUUGCGCAAUGGGCGAAAGCCUGACGCAGCGACGCCGCGUGAGGGACGACGGCCUUCGGGUUGUAAACCUCUUUCCAGCUCUGACGAAGCGAGAGUGACGGUAGGAGCAGAAGAAGCACCGGCCAACUACGUGCCAGCAGCCGCGGUAAUACCGUAGGGUGCAAGCGUGUCCGGAAUUAUUGGGCGUAAAAGAGCUCGUAGGCGGGUCUGUCGCGUCAAAUGUGAAAAACCCGGGGCUCACUCCGGGCCUGCAUUCAAUACGGGCAGACUAAAGUUCGGUAGGG
This 601-nucleotide ribosomal RNA is filed under the name uncultured bacterium. Its description in RNAcentral is "bacterial SSU rRNA". It matches the Rfam family "Bacterial small subunit ribosomal RNA", at positions 44 to 656 of the family's 1533-position model. The record is from RNAcentral.